GACGUUAGCUGCAGAAGAAGCACCGGCUAACUCCGUGCCAGCAGCCGCGGUAAUACGGAGGGUGCGAGCGUUAAUCGGAAUUACUGGGCGUAAAGCGCAUGCAGGUGGUUUGUUAAGUCAGAUGUGAAAAGCCCCGGGGCUCAACCUCGGAAUUGCAUUUGAAACUGGCAAACUAGAGUACUGUAGAGGGGGUAGAAUUUCAGGUGUAGCGGUGAAAUGCGUAGAGAUCUGAAGGAAUACCGGUGGCGAAGGCGGCCCCCUGGACAGAUACUGACACUCAGAUUCGCGAAAGCGUGGGGAGCAAACAGGAUUAGAUACCCUGGUAG
RNAcentral lists this ribosomal RNA (326 nucleotides) under uncultured bacterium. Its description in RNAcentral is "bacterial SSU rRNA". It matches the Rfam family "Bacterial small subunit ribosomal RNA", at positions 471 to 793 of the family's 1533-position model. The record is from RNAcentral.